Polyodon spathula (Mississippi paddlefish) is the source of this 93-nucleotide non-coding RNA. The record is from the annotation of a RefSeq genome assembly. Lineage: Eukaryota; Metazoa; Chordata; Actinopteri; Acipenseriformes; Polyodontidae.
GCGCCAAUGGUGUAGUGGUAUCAUACAAGAUUCCCAUUCUUGAUGACCUGGGUUCAAUUCCCAGUGACCUGGGUUCAAUUCCCAGUUGGCGCA